RNAcentral lists this ribosomal RNA (301 nucleotides) under uncultured bacterium. RNAcentral describes it as "partial 16S ribosomal RNA". It matches the Rfam family "Bacterial small subunit ribosomal RNA", at positions 509 to 807 of the family's 1533-position model. The record is from RNAcentral.
CAGCCGCCGCGGGAAUACAGAGGGUGCAAGCGUUAAUCGGAGUUACUGGGCGUAAAGGGCGCGUAGGCGGCGAUCAAAGUCAGGCGUGAAAUUCCUGGGCUCAACCUGGGGGCUGCGCUUGAUACUUGGUUGCUUGAGUGGGGAAGAGGGUCGUGGAAUUCCCAGUGUAGAGGUGAAAUUCGUAGAUAUUGGGAAGAACACCGGUGGCGAAGGCGGCGACCUGGUCCUUGACUGACGCUGAGGCGCGAAAGCGUGGGGAGCAAACAGGAUUAGAUACCCCAGUAGUCCCUGUCUCUUAUAC